Molecule: ribosomal RNA, 2418 nt
Filed under: Triticum aestivum (bread wheat)
Lineage: Eukaryota; Viridiplantae; Streptophyta; Magnoliopsida; Poales; Poaceae
Description: partial small subunit ribosomal RNA
Source: RNAcentral
AUGUCCACGCCGGCCAGUCUCCCGCCGCCGGCCCCCGCCGCCACGCCCCUCACCGACCUCCUCGAGUCACCCACCUUCGCGCCCCCCGCGCCAGCGCCCCCGCCUCCCACCCCCGCCGCCAUCCUCACCGCGUGGUCGCACCUCCGCAGCGCCGCUCCCUCCCCUGCGGUCACCCUCUCCGCCCUCGAGACCCUCCACCUGCACCGCCGCUCGCUCCGCCUCAGCUCCGCGCACCUCGAGCUGCUCCUGCCGCUUCUCCCGCUCCACCCGCGCCUCGUCUCCCCGCUGCUCGCCACCUGCCCGCGUCUCCUCCCCAACUAUUCGCUCCCCUUUGCCUCCCUCCCUCUCGCCCCUCGGCUCCUCCUCCUGGGCACGCUCGCCACCGCCAAGAGCUCCAAGAAUUCCACCAGCAAUGGCACCUCAGGGAGCCCCAGCACGGGGAAUCUCGGGAGCGACCAUGGUGGCGACGACCCCAUUGUGGCUGUGAGUCGCAUUCUAGAGAAUACGGAGCAGGGCAGUGAGACCAGCGAUGUUAUUGACCACCUUGCGCUUGCUGGUAUUGGCCAUGCCCUGGCAUGUGCAGAUGAGCUGCACUUUGGAAGGAUCCUUGUGUCCCUGGUUAGGAUUUGCGGCAGGAUCGGGGAUGUAGGUGUUGGUGUUAGGGUGCUUAAGCUGGUGGAUUGGCUGGUGUCGGGGUUCGUCGAGUCGAGGAGGAUGCGCAAGGUUCAGGUUCUGUUCGAGGUAAUUUCGCCGGAGAAGUGCGAGAGCGAGGGUUAUGUGCUGUUUCCGGCGGUGAUGGCGGCUUGCGGUGGACUACGGGCAUUGAGGGUUGCUUCGGUGAGACAUCGCUUGGACUUUGCCCCAAAAUUGAAGGACGCUCCUGAGUGGACCAUUCGUUUUGCAGCUAAGAGGGCAACUGUAGAAGGGAGGCAUGACGAUGAUCAGCGACGUGUCCUUCUUCAGUGUGUUGCAUUAGGUUUGACACAGUGUGGGCCGGUAGCGUCUAAUGAUUCAGUGUUACAGUGUGUUCUUAUGGCACUGCUGGAGGAGCUCCUUCCUCUUCCAUGUCUGCUUAGGAUCUCAGUUAAGAGUCCAGAUGGAAAUUCAGCUGAGCUUGCCAAGAAUCAGGUCAAGCAACACCAGGAUAGUGUCCUUUUCAAAGAAGCAGGGCCAGUGACUGGGGUUCUGUGCAAUCAGUAUUCAUUUGCUGAUGAGAAGACUAAAGAUUAUGUUGAAACUCGUGUAUGUGAAUAUGCGCAAGAGCUGUAUCAUCAUCUUCGUGCAGCAGUGUUGCUGCACCAGACGAAACGGAAUGAUUUGCUUGCUGAGAUUGAUAAGAUUGCUGAGGCAGCAUUUUUUAUGAUUGUAAGCUUUGCAGCAGAGGUUGCAAAACACAGGUUGGAUGCAAACUCCUCAGGGGGGUUACAGCCAGAGGUUGCUGUUAGGAUCUUGGUGGAAUUCUCUUGUGUGGAACAUCUGAGACGUUUGCGUCUUCCUGAGUACACUGAAGCAAUCCGGCGUGCUGUUGUUGUUAAUCAGGAUAAUGCGGCAGCCAGUGCUUUAUUCGUUGAGUCAAUGCCUUCAUGUGCUGAAUUGACAACCAAACCAGAUUUACUAACCUUGGAUGGAACAAGAUAUAUCUGUUACGCGGAUGAGGUUCAGACGUCACGCAUAUUGUUUUAUCUGCGGGUUAUGCCUACUUGUAUUAGCCUUAUUCCAGCUGAUCUAAUUCGGGAUAAAUUAGCUCCGGUCGUAUUCCUAUACAUACAACAUUCGAAUGAAAAAAUAACACGUGCUGUACACUCGGUGAUGGUAUCAUUCCUGUCAUCUGGCAAUGAUACUGAUCAGGAUGAUCGAGUGGCUUUGAAAGAGCAAGUCGCCUUUGAUUAUAUUAGGAGAUCCUUGGAGGCUUAUCCUGGGGUAACUCCAUUUGAUGGAUUAGCAUCAGGAGUUGUUGCACUUGUUCGGCACCUUCCUGCAAAGAGCCCUGCCAUUCUGUUUUGUAUCCAUAGCCUUGCUGUGAAGGCUAAAGAUCUUUGCAGUACUGCAAUGGUUCAGGACAGAUCAUUAUGGAGGUCAUGGGAAGAAAGCACAGAGCCCUGCAAGAAAGUAUUGGACUUGUUGCUACGGCUCAUCUUCCUUGUUGAUAUUCAGUCAUUCUCUUAUCUGCUCAAGGAGCUGGCGGAAUUUGUCACCUCGCUGCCAAAGGAAGGCCAGGAUGUGCUCCUCGAUGACAUGCACGCCCAUGUCGCGGAAUCUGACGAUGUUGUACGGAAGCCUGUGCUCGUGUCGUGGUUGCAGUCCCUAUCAUACAUAAGCUCACAAGCUGAUGUUCGUGAAUCUCGUAAUAACGCGAAAAAUGCUCGUUCUGCGGGUGGGGUUGAGCUGAGCCUGAACAGAACUAUUGCACGCUUGUGA